RNAcentral lists this transfer RNA (61 nucleotides) under Mytilisepta virgata. RNAcentral's name for it is "tRNA-Gly". The record is from RNAcentral. Lineage: Eukaryota; Metazoa; Mollusca; Bivalvia; Mytilida; Mytilidae.
AUUUAUAGUAAAAUUAUUAUAUUUGCCUUCCAAGCAAAAGUUCCAGUUAUGGUAAGUAUAA